RNAcentral lists this ribosomal RNA (832 nucleotides) under uncultured Acidobacteriota bacterium. Its description in RNAcentral is "bacterial SSU rRNA". It matches the Rfam family "Bacterial small subunit ribosomal RNA", at positions 58 to 904 of the family's 1533-position model. The record is from RNAcentral. Lineage: Bacteria; Pseudomonadati; Acidobacteriota.
CAAGUCGAACGAGAAAACGGUAGCAAUACCGCGAGUACAGAGGCGCACGGGUGAGUAACACGUGGAUAACCUGCCUUUGAGUGGGGAAUAACCCUGGGAAACCGGGGCUAAUACCGCAUGACAUCCUGGAGCGAUGUUCCAGGAUUGAAAUUCGAAAGAAGCCCAAAGAGGGGUCCGCGGCCGAUUAGCUAGUUGGUGAGGUAAUGGCCCACCAAGGCUAUGAUCGGUAGCCGGCCUGAGAGGGCGGACGGCCACACUGGAACUGAAACACGGUCCAGACUCCUACGGGAGGCAGCAGUGGGGAAUUUUGCGCAAUGGGGGAAACCCUGACGCAGCAACGCCGCGUGGACGAUGAAGCUUCUUGGAGUGUAAAGUCCUUUCGGCAGGGACGAAUUAUGACGGUACCUGCAGAAGAAGCCCCGGCUAACUUCGUGCCAGCAGCCGCGGUAAUACGAGGGGGGCGAGCGUUGUUCGGAAUUAUUGGGCGUAAAGGGCGCGUAGGCGGUGUGGCAAGUCAGGUGUGAAACCUCCAGGCUUAACUUGGAGCUUGCAUCUGAAACUGCCGUGCUAGAGUGCGGGAGAGGAGAGUGGAAUUCCUGGUGUAGCGGUGAAAUGCGUAGAUAUCAGGAGGAACACCGGUGGCGAAGGCGGCUCUCUGGACCGCAACUGACGCUGAGGCGCGAAAGCCAGGGGAGCAAACAGGAUUAGAUACCCUGGUAGUCCUGGCUGUAAACUAUGAACACUUGGUAUAGCGGGUAUCGAAUCCCGCCGUGCCGGAGCUAACGCAUUAAGUGUUCCGCCUGGGGAGUACGGUCGCAAGGCUGAAACUCAA